GGGUCUAUGAUGACAAACCAAUGUCAUGAAGAGAGGUUAUGACAUAACAAUCAUGCUCAAUAGGAUUAUACUCUGGCCC
Molecule: small nucleolar RNA, 79 nt
Organism: Mesocricetus auratus (golden hamster)
Lineage: Eukaryota; Metazoa; Chordata; Mammalia; Rodentia; Cricetidae
Gene: SNORD115
Rfam family: Small nucleolar RNA SNORD115
About the family: HBII-52 is a member of the C/D class of snoRNAs, which contain the C (UGAUGA) and D (CUGA) box motifs. HBII-52 is encoded in a tandemly repeated array with another C/D snoRNA, HBII-85, in the Prader-Willi syndrome (PWS) region of chromosome 15.
Source: Ensembl